RNAcentral lists this long non-coding RNA (3205 nucleotides) under Gallus gallus (chicken). Lineage: Eukaryota; Metazoa; Chordata; Aves; Galliformes; Phasianidae. The record is from RNAcentral.
GCUGCGGGUCCCGCUAUCGCAAACCUCGAUAAAGUGCAGCGUGCAUCGUGCCCUGCCGUACGGUGUGCGCUACAGCGGGCACGUAGACAGCCCUCUACGCUCUUAUUUUUACAGUUAUUUGUGUUUACGUUUGGGAUUUCUAGCGUGUGCGUGACCCAAAGGGCACGUUGUCGGCUGCUGAAUACCAUUCAUGCUUAAGGAGAGCACUGAGAGGUAUCCGGGAUGCCCCAGAGGCAGGUGGAGGGGUGGAUUCCCCCCUGCCUCCUCCCAGGAGUUGGUGAAUGGACUUAAAAUGUCCUCCUGAUGUUAAAGCAGGAACCCACUGGGAAGAUCAGUAAAUCCUUGUCUGUUCAAAGAUGUAAAACGUAUCCAAGACUGAAUGAUUAUGUGGCACUGGCUAGGCAUGGUCCAAAUCCCCUAGCAGGGUAGGUAGAGUGCAUGGCUUAUUCUCAGGAGAAUGUUAUUUACCUAACUUGUUUGCUUUUGGUGUGAUACGUCCAGGUGUGCAGGAAGUUUUAUAACAACUUCCUUGGAGCUCGAGCCUGCCAAAAUGUUUUGUAAUCUUCAUUCCCUGGUUACUUGGGUAAUAUACUGUUUCUGGAGAUGUAUUAUUGCAUUUCCAAUCAUCAGUUACAGUGCAGACAGGAUGACAUGGCAUGGUGAUGGUAACUCAGAACUUAGUAAUAAUUUCUGUGUAGAAAAUACCAGUUACAUCCACUGAAUGUAGCAGAUAUACCAUGGGCUAGCUGUAUCGUGUUUUAAACACCUGCCUUUACAUUUCAGUGGGAGCUUGAGGUCAGUGCAGACCAUGUAGACAUUAGGUGCUGCAUGCCUGCUUCUGCCAGUGAGGCCCAUUGCCCCUGGCAGGAGUGGAUGGGAAUCCUGUAACAGCAGUGCUCUCCUUAAUUCUCUCCCAGUAGUUUGCGUGAAAAGAAACUUGAAUCAAAUUCAAAAGUGACUCUGUGACAGUACUCAGCUGGGAGUGGUUUUUCCUUUCCUCUGCUUCUUGAUAUUCACCCGCACUGCGCUUUCAGUCUCACAUUGGAGACUGGCUUUGAGCACUAGGAAUAAAACGAUCAGUAAGGGGUUGGUAGAAGUAAAGUGACUGACCUCUUGAUCAUGCAGGAUCUUUUCUGCAAGCUUUUUGUAGAGCUGUUUUCAGGAACAGAAAUGGUGGGAGUGUUGGUAUGGUGUAUGCUGAUGUAGUGAACCUGAAACACCUGGCUUAGGAUCAUGCCCUGUCCGAGGUGGCAUAUUCUGGAGUUCACACUGUUAAUCUUAUAAUUCUCUUGCACUAGAUUAGAAAAAUGAUAUCUUAAUUACUGAGGUACUUGUAGGGUAUGAUAACAGUGAUUAAACACUGAGUUGUAUUUCUCUAUUCAUCUUUACCUUCACCUUUGCUUGACUUUGCCAGUGAGUCAUCUUGUCAUGUAAGAAGAAACCUUCCUGCCCCUUAUUCUCUAAAUCUGUGUAAUAGGACCAACAAUAUUUAUCUGUUUGGACAGAUGACAUAACAAAGAAUAUUUGUAAAACACUUUUAGGUUCUUAAAUUGUUUACGCCAUCUGACAGCGGUGUUUUAUUUACUUACUCUUAUUAACUUUGGACUUGCAAUUCCUCUUUUUCCUCAGCAGAUAGGACUUAGGAUAAACUCACAGAGAACUCACGGUCGUAUCUUUUCUCACUGAUGCAUUGGUGCGACACGUCAGCAGAGGAAGUACUUUACUUAAAACUACAAAUGAAGUGCCACAUUUCGCAUGCACAAUAGCCCUAGGAAGAUAUUUGUAUGAGACAUUAAUGAAUUGUAAUUACUUCAGGCAAAAAAAAAAAAAAGAGGGGGUGGGUGGGAAAUAAGUCAUUUUAGCUCCUUGUUGCUAUUAUUUUUCUUAGAAAUUAUUCUUCAACAGAGCUGCAUGUUAGGUAGAAAACCUUUUAAGCAAAAUUCAGAUUAUCAUCUGGAUGGGUAAUUUACAUGAGGUAAAGCAGAAAUAAAAUUUCAGUAUCUCUGGCAGCUGAAGUUGCUCUUAGUAUUUAAUUCUUAGAGGUCUCUCAGUUUAUUCCAGAACAUCUUGGAUAUUAGUGGUAGUAGAUUAAAGGGACACUUGCUGAAGUUUUUGUUUUUACUACUUUGGAGCUGAAAGGCAUAAUGUUUCUAAGGACUGGCAGAGGCAAAAAUUACUAGUGGUGAAAAGCCCUCAUCUGUACAUUAUAGAAUGUUAUGUUCUGAUUGCAGUCACGGGUUCUGAAAGGGUGGUCAGGCACUGGAGUGGGCUGCCCAGAGAGGUGGUGGAGUCACCGACCCUGGAGGUGUUCAAGGAACGUUUGGACGUUGUGUUGAGGGACAUGGUUUAGUGAGAACCAUUGGUGAUGGGUGGAUGGGUGGACUGGAUGAUCCUGUGGAUCUCUUCCAACCUUUGUGAUUCUGUGAUUAUCUUCCAAAAGUGCACCACUUUGGAAAAAUAAAUUCAGCCACCAGUUUAAUAAUAAAUAUUUUUAAAGCAACUGUGAUAUUAGUGUCUUGCUGAAAGUUUAGUCUAGAUGCUUUGUUGAAAUUGAAUGAAAGGCUCUUUUCAUCCUAACGCUUCAAUGAGAAAAAAACUUUAAUUUCUGAUUAUUCUAAUUCAAAAGUUCAAUUAUGUGGGCCAAUUACUAAAGGCCUCACAGUAAUGAAAUAAUGUCUUAAAAAUUCCUGUUUCAAGUUCAAAUUUACUUAUUACAAGAAUUAAAAUUCUAAGUAUUAUACAGUGCUAAUUAGUAAAAGUUAAAAUAUACAUGAAUUCCAAUUACAGCUUUAUUUUCUACGUGCUGUAAACAAAGCUGUGCUUGACAGGUAGUAGGUAGCAAUGACUAUUUAGAAGCAAUACAAGCAAAGAUGAAUUUUGAUUUAAAUUGCAAUUCGUAACAUUUCAUUGAUUUUAAUCCAUUAUUUUAUAAUCGGAGCUCUUCAAGCUCUGAUUAUGCUGUAGGACCUCUGUUUCUGACUCUUAAGUUCUCUCUUGUUUUAUCAUCCCAAAGACUAUUGGGCUUUGAGGGUAGGUGCUCAAAAAUUAGGAAGAGCUGGAAUAAAUGUGUGAAUUUCCUGGCUUAUUUAUCGCAUAGCUUUCUAAUGCAUACGUGUUGGCUGUUCUGAAUGUACUGCUUCUCCAGAAGAUGUGGUUGUGUAUGACAGUGGUGCUCUGUACUCAUGGUGAUACUGAUCUGGCCAUA